This 520-nucleotide ribosomal RNA is filed under the name uncultured Glomus. Its description in RNAcentral is "SSU rRNA". It matches the Rfam family "Eukaryotic small subunit ribosomal RNA", at positions 569 to 1091 of the family's 1831-position model. The record is from RNAcentral. Lineage: Eukaryota; Fungi; Glomeromycota; Glomeromycetes; Glomerales; Glomeraceae.
AGCAGCCGCGGUAAUUCCAGCUCCAAUAGCGUAUAUUAAAGUUGUUGCAGUUAAAAAGCUCGUAGUUGGAUUUCGGGAUCGACGGGUCGGUCGCGCCUCUGGUGUGUACUGGCCCUGUCGGUUUCUCCCUUCUGACGAACCACGAUGUCAUUAAUUUGGUGUCGUGGGAAAUCAGGACUGUUACUUUGAAAAAAUUAGAGUGUUUAAAGCAGGCAUUCGCUUGAAUACAUUAGCAUGGAAUAAUGAAAUAGGACGUUUGAUCUUAUUUUGUUGGUUUCUAAGAUCGACGUAAUGAUUAAUAGGGAUAGUUGGGGGCAUUAGUAUUCAAUUGUCAGAGGUGAAAUUCUUGGAUUUAUUGAAGACUAACUACUGCGAAAGCAUUUGCCAAGGAUGUUUUCAUUAAUCAAGAACGAAAGUUAGGGGAUCGAAGACGAUCAGAUACCGUCGUAGUCUUAACCAUAAACUAUGCCGACUAGGGAUCGGAUGAUGUUAAUUUUUAAUGACUCAUUCGGCGCCUUAC